UACAGACUCUAACAUGACAAGACAAUGAGGAAAGGCAGAUAUGACAAUGUUGCGAUAGAAUUAAGUCCUCGAAGAAAGAGAAGAAUGAGAACCAACGAAAAAUGAAGAGACCUUAAGAAUCCUUUGCCAGCAGCCUUCUUCUGGUUUAGAGUCCAGCAAGCAGAGACCACAAUGUUUGAAAGAAGCUUCAGCACAUACAAUUCUUCGCAACUCCUUUGGAUCCCUGGAAAUUGUUCAUCUGGUGAGCUGAGAUCAUUAGUGAAAAUUUCCUGUGACUUCUGGAACUUUCUAAUCAUGUCAUGGCUGGUGAUAACAAUAGUGGAUUUUUAUGGGAAUGCUGCUUCUCAAGGAGAAUUUUGGAUUUACUUCCUGCAGGUGGAAACUUUUAUUCUCUAAGUUUAAAAGAAAGUGGAACUAACCGGGAGGAAGAAAGGCUGCAUCCACGGAAGGCAGAGCUCUGCAGAUCUCUUGAUGCUCGAGGCCACCAGAAGACAUUUAUUUGCCUUUUCAUUACUAUCUUUCUCAAGUGAUGUGAACACCUAAUUUGGGCCUGAUAAAGGGAAGAAAGCUGGAUCCAAGGCCUUUGAGAACUCCAAAAGGAAAGGAGGAUUAAUAAAGUAUGUCAUCAGACUGACACCCCAUACAUUGUCCUGUGUUUCAGUUUGAUCUUCAUCAAACACAUCAACUGGAGAACAGCCCUGGACCCAUCAGCCACAGGCCUUAAUAUGAUCCAGAUUCUACCUUCAUCGUAGCUCUGAAAAAUACAUUG
Long non-coding RNA from Mustela erminea (ermine), 769 nucleotides. RefSeq lists it as uncharacterized. The transcript has 3 exons. NCBI's taxonomy places the organism in Eukaryota, Metazoa, Chordata, Mammalia, Carnivora, Mustelidae. The record is from RefSeq and is a predicted model, not a curated record.